AGGACGAACGCUGGCGGCGUGCCUAAUGCAUGCAAGUUGCGCGGGCAUCCCUUCGGGGGUGUCAGCAGCGGACGGCUGAGUAGCGCGUGGGUUAUCUGCCCCAGAGUGGGGGAUAACGUCCCGAAAGGGAUGCUAAUCCCGCAUGGUGCCAUCCUCGUGAUGGCUAAAGCCGCAAGGCGCUCUGGGUGGAGCCCGCGUCCCAUUAGUUUGUUGGCGGGGUAAUGGCCCACCAAGACUGUGAUGGGUGGCUGGUCUGAGAGGACGACCAGCCAGACUGGGACUGAGACACGGCCCAGACUCCUACGGGAGGCAGCAGCAAGGAAUUUUCCGCAAUGGGCGCAAGCCUGACGGAGCAACGCCGCGUGGAGGAUGACGGCUCUCGGGUUGUAAACUCCUUUUUUGGGGGGAUGGACAUCGACAGUACCCCCGCAACAAGCCCCGGCUAACUACGUGCCAGCAGCCGC
RNAcentral lists this ribosomal RNA (464 nucleotides) under uncultured bacterium. RNAcentral's name for it is "SSU rRNA". It matches the Rfam family "Bacterial small subunit ribosomal RNA", at positions 26 to 518 of the family's 1533-position model. The record is from RNAcentral.